GAUAAACGCUGGCGGCGUGCCUAAUACAUGCAAGUCGAGCGAACGGACGAGAAGCUUGCUUCUCUGAUGUUAGCGGCGGACGGGUGAGUAACACGUGGAUAACCUACCUAUAAGACUGGGAUAACUUCGGGAAACCGGAGCUAAUACCGGAUAAUAUUUUGAACCGCAUGGUUCAAAAGUGAAAGACGGUCUUGCUGUCACUUAUAGAUGGAUCCGCGCUGCAUUAGCUAGUUGGUAAGGUAACGGCUUACCAAGGCAACGAUGCAUAGCCGACCUGAGAGGGUGAUCGGCCACACUGGAACUGAGACACGGUCCAGACUCCUACGGGAGGCAGCAGUAGGGAAUCUUCCGCAAUGGGCGAAAGCCUGACGGAGCAACGCCGCGUGAGUGAUGAAGGUCUUCGGAUCGUAAAACUCUGUUAUUAGGGAAGAACAUAUGUGUAAGUAACUGUGCACAUCUUGACGGUACCUAAUCAGAAAGCCACGGCUAACUACGUGCCAGCAGCCGCGGUAAUACGUAGGUGGCAAGCGUUAUCCGGAAUUAUUGGGCGUAAAGCGCGCGUAGGCGGUUUUUUAAGUCUGAUGUGAAAGCCCACGGCUCAACCGUGGAGGGUCAUUGGAAACUGGAAAACUUGAGUGCAGAAGAGGAAAGUGGAAUUCCAUGUGUAGCGGUGAAAUGCGCAGAGAUAUGGAGGAACACCAGUGGCGAAGGCGACUUUCUGGUCUGUAACUGACGCUGAUGUGCGAAAGCGUGGGGAUCAAACAGGAUUAGAUACCCUGGUAGUCCACGCCGUAAACGAUGAGUGCUAAGUGUUAGGGGGUUUCCGCCCCUUAGUGCUGCAGCUAACGCAUUAAGCACUCCGCCUGGGGAGUACGACCGCAAGGUUGAAACUCAAAGGAAUUGACGGGGACCCGCACAAGCGGUGGAGCAUGUGGUUUAAUUCGAAGCAACGCGAAGAACCUUACCAAAUCUUGACAUCCUUUGACAACUCUAGAGAUAGAGCCUUCCCCUUCGGGGGACAAAGUGACAGGUGGUGCAUGGUUGUCGUCAGCUCGUGUCGUGAGAUGUUGGGUUAAGUCCCGCAACGAGCGCAACCCUUAAGCUUAGUUGCCAUCAUUAAGUUGGGCACUCUAAGUUGACUGCCGGUGACAAACCGGAGGAAGGUGGGGAUGACGUCAAAUCAUCAUGCCCCUUAUGAUUUGGGCUACACACGUGCUACAAUGGACAAUACAAAGGGCAGCGAAACCGCGAGGUCAAGCAAAUCCCAUAAAGUUGUUCUCAGUUCGGAUUGUAGUCUGCAACUCGACUACAUGAAGCUGGAAUCGCUAGUAAUCGUAGAUCAGCAUGCUACGGUGAAUACGUAUCGCGGGUC
RNAcentral lists this ribosomal RNA (1372 nucleotides) under uncultured bacterium. RNAcentral's name for it is "bacterial SSU rRNA". It matches the Rfam family "Bacterial small subunit ribosomal RNA", at positions 28 to 1380 of the family's 1533-position model. The record is from RNAcentral.